RNAcentral lists this long non-coding RNA (6926 nucleotides) under Olea europaea subsp. europaea. Lineage: Eukaryota; Viridiplantae; Streptophyta; Magnoliopsida; Lamiales; Oleaceae. The record is from RNAcentral.
UCCUGAAAUAUAUAAUCCAAUAUCCUAUACAGAUACAUAUAGUUUAAAAUAGGGUACACUGGCCCACAUAAUAUCAACUAUUCAAAUACAACACUGACAAUUCGACCUUUGCAACAAUUUAUAAACCACAGUACCCAAAAUACAUAACAUAUACAAAACAUAGCAGGCCCAAAACAUAGAACUAAUUUUUGACCAAAAGAGGUGUCUAUCCCAAAAUAUGAACUAUUAAACUGAUAAGAUGAGUCAUACAAUUCUUGACAAUCUAUGACUCAACUCGAUAGAUCAACUGGCCCAGUAGUGCUCAACUUAACUGCUAUUUGAUAAGAGAAAUUGUGAUAAAAAUGUGAGUUUAUAACUCAGUGAGUGGAUAUUUUGUAAGUAAAUAUAUAUUUUCUAGAUAUACCUACUUUCUGAAAACUGGUAUAUAAUAAAAAUGUUCUUUUAUUGUACUAUAAGUUAAAACAUUUAUUCUUUAAAUUGAAGUGACUAAAUUCUGUAAUCUGAAAAUUGAUGAAUUGCAAUUUACUGAAAAUCACACCAAAAAGAUACCCGAAAUAACCUUACUCAUGUAUCAGUUAGUACCGAUAUACAUGGCAGAGCUAUUCGAUUCUGUAAUUCUGAAAUUCUGGUCAUACGCGCGCAGAGCUGAAAUUUUGUAAUUCUGGUCAUACGCUAUGGAAACAUAUUCAUAAUAAUGCAGAGCGGGUAAAAUCACCAUAACUGGUCAUACACUGUGGAAACACAUUCACACCAGUGCAGAGAGGGUAAAAUCACCAUAACUAGUCAUACAUUGUGGAAACACAUUCACACCAGUGCAGACUGCGGUAAAAUCACCUGGAUACUUUCUGGUAGUUUUUAGAAAUAACUUUAAAUAUUUUGAAACACGUAAUAUCGAUAAAACAUGCUAAUGAAAUGAUUUUACUUAACUAAAUCAAACUUUAAAAACAACUGUUUAUAAAUCAACUUUAUUAUGAAAAUCAUGCUAUCAAAUCAACUGUAUGAAAUAAUAAAUUUUCUGAUUUAAUAUAAAUUGAAUAAAUACUUAUUGCUGAAGAAUUAGUUUUCAGCCACUCACUCAAUACGAGUUAUAGAUUAGGCCAGUCGGUAAGCUUUUCCAAUUUUUUCGUCACCACUUGAAAUACAUUACAAAAUAACUAAUUUAAUCACCAAUAAAAUAAGGAAACAUUUUAUCUCUAAUCAUAUAAUAAUUAAACUAAAUUUUUCGAGACUUGCGAAAUUUUCCUAAAUUUCCUUUAAUCAAUCGGAGCUAAUUUCCACUUUCUAAUACCUUCACAAUUAUAUACCACAUCCAAAUUUAACUUCAUUCCAAUCACAACAAUAUUUAUCCCUUUCAUUCUAGUGAAAAACUAGCAAUCAUACUACAACCAAAUUAAUAUAUCUAUCGUUCCCCAAAAUCAUUCUUCCAAGUGAAUGAUUCCAUUAAUGUAAUCAUUUCCACAAAUAAUUCAUGCUCAAUCAUCAAAUUUAAAAAUUAGGGUUUGCCCAAAAAAAUUGAUAUCUCCUUACCUUAGUGUAGGUAGAAAUUCAAGAAUCAAUAACUUGAGCUCCAAGUAGUAUUCAUCUAAAAAAUCUGAAAAUGUCGAGCCAAAAUAAAACCCUAGAAUUUUAACAUAAAAUUUAUCUACCUCUUGAAGAAAAUAAAGAGAAAGGAAAAAUAGAAAUAGACCUUGAACUACCUAUUUCCUUUCUUCUUCUUCUUCCCUUUUUCUUCCCUUUUCUUUCCCUUUUUCUUUCCUUUUUCUUUUUGUUGAUUUCUUCUUCUCUCUGCCGGUUCCAGAUUUUUCCUAUUUAUUUGAUGGAUUGAUAUAUUAAAAAAAAAGGAAGGGUGAGGGGGAAGGGGCUAAUUGUUGUAUAAUUGCUACAUGCCCUCCAUAACACCAACUUUAGCAAUUUAAUUCCUUCAACUCCAUUUUUUAUAUCACAUUUAACCAUAAACUUCCAAAAUAUAUAAGUAAAUUCCCAACUUUAAAUUGUAUCCAAUUUUACCCUCAUAUAUUGCCAAUUGUAAAAUAAACCCCAAUAAAAGAUUUUAGUCAAUUCAAGUCCCAAAACAAUCAUUUAUUUCAUUUAAGUCCCUAUGUGACUUUGACUUUGAAAAUUCAACUCUUGACUGUUGAUUAAAUAAUAUGCGUUGUAACAAUUUUACCUCUUUAAAAGAAUUUCGUCCUCGAAAUUCAACUGGCAUCUGAUUAGGUAACGAAUAGAUGAGAAUAUUGAACACGCAUCUGAUCCUCAUUCUCCCAUGUAGCCUCUUCUACUGUCUGAUUCUACCAAAGUACCUUAACAAGUGAAAUUGUCUUGUUUUGUUGAAUCUGUACUUUCUUAUCUAAAAUUCUCACUGGCUGUUCUAUAUAAGUCAAAUUCUCUUUCCACUGAAUUGGUUGAGAUUUCAGAACAUGAGAGGGAUCUGCAACGUAUUUGCGAAGCAUGGAAACAUGAAAAACAUCCUGGAUCUGAGAUAAUUCAGUCGGCAAAUCUAACCGAUAUGCAACUAGACCAAUCUGCUCAGUAAUCUCAUAUGGUCCAAUGUAUCGUGGACUCAAUUUUCCUCGCUUGCCAAAUCUCAACACCCCUUUCCAAGGAAAUAAUUUAAGAAAAACAUUAUCUCCCACUGCAAAUUCAAGAUCUUUCCUACAUCUGUCUGCACAACUUUUCUGUCUAUCCUAAGCUGCUUUCAACUUUUCUUUUAUCAACUUCACAUUCUCAGACAUCAUUUGAACCAAUUCAGGGCCUGCAAAAUUCCUCUUACCAGCUUCAUCCCAACAAAUUGGUGUCCUACACUUCCGACCAUAUAAAACUUCAAAAUGAGCAAUUUCUAUACUAAAGUGGUAGUUGUUAUUGUAAGCAAACUCCAUCAAUGAUAGAUGAGUAUCCCAGCUACCUUUGAGCUCUAAAACACAAGCCCUCAACAUAUCCUCAAGAGUCUGUAUGGUCCUCUCUGAAAUCUGUCUAAGGAUGAAAAGUUGUACUGAAAUGUAGUUUAGUACCCAUGGUUUCCUGCAAACUGGGCCAAAAUUUAGAUGUAAAAUGAGGGUCUCUAUCAGAGACAAUAGAUAAUGGAGUACCAUAUAAGCUCACUAUCUCGUGCACAUACAACUUUGCCGACUUAUUUAAAGUAUAAGUAGCCUUGAUCGGCAAGAUCUAGCAGUUUUGGUCAAGCGAUCUACAAUAACCCAAACUCCAUCAUGACCAUUCUGAGUACGAGGAAGACCAAAUAAAAAGUUCAUGGUAAUGUGCUCCCAUUUCCAUUAUGGAAUAGGCAAUGGCUGUAAAAGUCCUACUGUUUUCUGACGAACUGGCUUUACCUACUGACAGAUAAGACAUUUGGAUACAAAAUCUGCUACUUCUCUCUUCAUUCCAAGCCACCAGUAAUGAUCUUUCGAUGUAUGAUACAUUUUACUACUGCUUGGAUGCAUAGCAUAAGCAGAACUACGUGCCUCUUCUAAAAUUUCCUUCUUCAAUUCUGGAAUAUCUGGAACACAUAAUCUAUUAUUCAUAGCUAAUGCACCAUUAUUCCUAAUAACAUAAUCCGUUCAUAACCGAACACUAACUUCUGCUUUCAAAGUUCUCAAUGUCAGGUCUUGAGAUUGAGAUUCUCUAACCUUAUCAAUCAAAGAAGGCCUUACCUGAAAAUGAGCUAAUAAUGCCCCAAAAGUAGUAAUUGACAACUGAGUGUGCAACUUCUUGAACUCACCAAUCAAGGAAGCAUAUACUGCACUAGAUGAAGAGGAAGAAUCAGUCUUUCUACUAAGAGCAUCUGCAACUAUAUUAGUUUUCCUUGGAUGGUAGUCAAUCUUACAAUCAUAAUCCUUUAUCAAUUCCAACCAUCUUCUCUGCCUUAGAUUUAGUUCCUUCUAAUCAAAGAUAUACUUUAGACUUUUAUGGUCGGUAAAUAUUUGAGAUUUCUCACCAUACAGGUAGUGCCUCCAAAUCUUUAAUGCUGACACCACUCUAGCUUAUUCCAAAUCAUGAGUUGGGGUAAUUUAACUCAUGCUUCUUCAAUUUUCUAGAAGCAUAAGCUACAACUUUCCCAUUCAGCAUUAAAAUACAACCCAAUCCUUGGCGUAAAGCAUCACUAUAGAUCACAAACUCUUCACCUGGAGAUGGAAGAGUAAGUAUAGGAGCAGAAACUAAUCUUCUCUUCAACUCUUGAAAACUCUUUUCACAUUCUUCAGUCCACACAAACCUGGUGUUCUUUCGAGUCAAACUAGUCAGAGGAAGAGCGGUUUUGGAAAAAUCCUCUACGAACCGAUGAUAAUAUCUUGCUAGCCCAAGAAAACUCUAUACUUCUGUAACAUUAGUAGGGCGUUCCCAUUUUAUUACGGCUUCAAUUUUUUGAGGAUCUACACAAAUACCUUCUGACGAGAUAACAUAACCCAGAAAUACAACUUUGUCCAGCCAAAAUUCACAUUUGCUAAACUUAGCAUACAACUACUUAUCUCGCAAAGUUUGUAAAAUAAUUCUCAAAUGUUCAGCAUGCUCAUCACAACUACGAGAAUAAACCAAUAUAUCAUCAAUGAAAACAAUCACAAAUUUGUCUAAAUAUGGGUGAAGCACCCUAUUCAUCAAGUCCAUAAAUGCUGCUGGGGUAUUAGUCAACCCAAAAGGCAUCACUAGAAACUCAUAAUGGCCAUACCGUGACCUAAAAACAGUUUUCUGCACAUCAACAUCCCUAAUUUUGAGUUGAUGGUACCCCGAGUGCAGAUUAACCUUAGAAAAUAUCGUAGCACCUCGAAGUUGGUCAAACAAAUCAUCGAUACGAGGCAAAGGAUACUUGUUGCGAAUAGUCACUUUAUUCAGCUGCCUAUAGUCAAUACACAAUCGCAUUGUGCCAUCUUUCUUCUUUAUAAAUAAGACCGGUGCUCCCCAUGGAGAUACACUGGGUCUAAUAAAGCCUUUGUCAACUAAAUCUUGCAACUGAACUUUUAAUUCCUUUAACUUUGCUGGAGCCAUUCUAUAAGGUCUCUGCAAAAUAGGGGUAGUCCCUGGGAUCAAGUCAAUGGCAAACUCAAUUUCUCUAUCUGGAGGCAACCCUAGAAGAUCUUCAGGAAAAACAUCAGGGAAAUUUCUUACCACAGGUAUAUCAUCAAGUUUCAACUUAGCGAUUUGGGUGUCAAUCACAUGAGCCAAAUACACAGAACAACCUUUUCUAAACAAUCUCCCAGCAUCAAGUGCAGAAAUAAGACAUGAAGGUAAUAUUCUCCGUUCACCACUAAAAAUAAUUUCAGGCUUUUUUGGCCUUCUGAACACCACCUCUUUGAGAAAGUAAUCAAUUGAAGCAUGAUUUGCAGCUAAGAAAUCCAUGCCCAAUAUCACAUCAAAAUCAUGAAUAUCAGGUGGAAUCAAAUUAGCUUUCAACUCAUGAUCAUUCACUCUAAUCAUACAAUCCUUGUACACUCUAUUGGCUAAAAGUGAACCUCCUAUUGGUGUAGCUACCACUAAAUCACUGUCUAAUAGUUCUGACAUAUGGUCCGCAUUAAUAGCAAAUGCAUGUGAUAUAAAUGAAUGUGUAGCACCAGAAUCAAUUAAAGAACGAGCAUUUUUGCCAAAAAUAGAUAACAUACCCAUGACUACAUCUGGGGAUCCCUCGAUAUCAUGCUGAGUUACUGCCAACACUCUUUCCUGAGUCCUGGGACGUCCUGCCCGACCUUUCUGUUUAGAACCACUGCUGCCAACAUCUGAUUGAAUAGCACUAGUGGUACCUAUUUUACCUGCCAACUGGUCCUGGUUCUGAUUUUGUCUGGAAAUUCCAACACCUGACUGUAAAGAUGUCCCUUGUGAUUCACCACCCUGCUGAAAACGAACUGGACACUCUCUCCUCAUAUGCCCAGUCUGACCACAGUGGUAACAAACACCAACGCCCUUAAGGCACUCACCAGGGUGAAAUUUCCCACAAGACUGACACUAAGGAAACUUGGCAACACUGGAGCUAUCACCCUGCCCAGAAGUAAAUGAUCUGUGGGAAGAUCCAUGUGUCUGAAAACGACUACUUCCUGGCUGUUGUACAGAUCUCUGACUGCCAUGAGAUCUGGAUUUGAAGCUGCCAGAUGUGGAAACACCUAAUCCACUUCCUUUAUGAUCUCUUCUCGGUGGUCUAUUCCUUGAGACUCCUGGCCACUGAUGACUAGCACCAACUCUAGGCCUCAUUUUCUACUGACUAUUUUAUCGUUCUGAAAGACUUUUCUCCACUCGCAUCACUGCUUCUACAAGUUUACCAAAAUUUUCAUACCCUGUUGCAGUUACCACGGAUCUAAUUUCUUCUCUCAAGCCAUGGUCAAACCUUCUGCACUUAUCAACUUCAUUGGCUACAAGGGCUGUAGCAUACUUUGAUAAUUCUAUGAACUUUUUCUGAUAUUCAGCUACUGUGGAUGUCUGAACUAUUUUCAAGAAUUCAUUCUGUUUGUCAUUCAUAUAUGAACGGUAGCAAUGAUAAUCAUUAAAAUCUUCUUUAAAAUCAACCCAUGUGAUCACAGAAGGAUCAACAUAUUUACUCUGUACUGAUCUCUACCAAUCAUAAGCAUCUCCUUCUAACAAGAAGGUUGCCAAACGUAUCCAUAACAUCAAAUACUCUUUCAAUCCUUACCAACCAAGAUUCGGCUUCUGCUGGAUCAGUAGUGCCUGUAAACACUUUAGCUCCUAAUUUGGUUGCUUGCUCUAUGAUAUAUUCUUUAUCAGAACUGCGUAAAGCAGAAGCAACAGCAGUGGCAAUCCUAUCAGCUAUAAUAUCAGACUGAGUUACAUCUCCUUGUCGUGUCUGCUCAUGAAUUUGCUGUACAGAUUGUUCAACUCUACUAUCCUCUCUAUUAGGAGCAAUUUGUGGUUGAGGCGGCACAUUAUGGAGUCCGCGAAUCUUACCAUCACGAGCCAUGACUUCCAACUACAAAACAUGUACAAUAUGAUCAGAA